UGGCUCAUUACAACAGCCUUAGUUUAUUGGAUCUUAGAGUCCUACUUGGAUAACUGUGGUAAUUCUAGAGCUAAUACACGCAAUCAAACCCUAACCUUACGGGCAGGGUGCAUUUAUUAGAACAAAACCAAUCGGCUUCGGUCGUCAUUGGUGAAUCUGAAUAACUACGCUGAUCGCACGGUCUCGCACCGGCGACAUAUCCUUCAAGUGUCUGCCUUAUCAACUUUCGAUGGUAGUUUACAUGACUACCAUGGUUGUAACGGGUAACGGAGAAUAAGGGUUCGACUCCGGAGAGGGAGCCUGAGAAACGGCUACCACAUCCAAGGAAGGCAGCAGGCGCGCAAAUUACCCACUCUCAGAACGAGGAGGUAGUGACGAAAAAUAACGAGACAGUUCUCUAUGAGGUCUGUCAUCGGAAUGGGUACAAUUUAAACCCUUUAACGAGGAUCUAUUGGAGGGCAAGUCUGGUGCCAGCAGCCGCGGUAAUUCCAGCUCCAAUAGCGUAUAUUAAAGCUGUUGCGGUUAAAAAGCUCGUAGUUGGAUCUGCGGUCGUAGAUACGGGUUCCCUUCAUGGGAUACUUGUUAUCUCGACCUACCUUGUUAGAUAUCUCUUAGUGCUCUUCAUUGAGUGCUCUGA
Molecule: ribosomal RNA, 637 nt
Filed under: Ptycholaimellus sp. SE3F04
Lineage: Eukaryota; Metazoa; Nematoda; Chromadorea; Chromadorida; Chromadoridae
Description: SSU rRNA
Rfam family: Eukaryotic small subunit ribosomal RNA
Source: RNAcentral